This 1242-nucleotide ribosomal RNA is filed under the name metagenome. RNAcentral describes it as "bacterial LSU rRNA". It matches the Rfam family "Bacterial large subunit ribosomal RNA", at positions 1564 to 2817 of the family's 2925-position model. The record is from RNAcentral.
UGAAUACGAGAUGCUACGGCGUCGAAGCAGUCUAUGUCAUACUUCCAAGAAAAGCUCGCACUGUCAUAAACAAAUAAUGCCUGUACCAUAACCGACACAGGUGGGUAGGUAGAGUAUACUAAGGGGCGCGAGAUAACUCUCUCUAAGGAACUCGGCAAAAUGACUCCGUAACUUCGGGAGAGGGAGUGCCUUAUUUAUAAGGUUGCAAUAACAAGAUCCAAGCAACUGUUUAUCAAAAACACAGGUCUCCGCUAAGUCGUAAGACGAUGUAUGGGGGCUGACGCCUGCCCAGUGCCAGAAGGUUAAAGAAGUUGGUUAGCAUUCGCGAAGCUGAUAACUGAAGCCCUGGUGAACGGCGGCCGUAACAAUAACGGUCCUAAGGUAGCGAAAUUCCUUGUCGGGUAAGUUCCGACCCGCACGAAAGGCGUAAUGAUUUGGAUACUGUCUCGGAGAGGGGCUCGGUGAAAUAGACUUGUCUGUGAAGAUGCGGACUACCUGCACCAGGACAGAAAGACCCUAUGAAGCUUUACUGUAACUUGAGAUUGAAAUUGGACUUUACUUGCGCAGUAUAGGUGGGAGGCGUUGAUAAUAUUCUUGCGGGAUUAUUUGUGCCAUCAGUGAGAUACCACUCUUGUAAUGUUAGAUUUCUAACUUUGUAUCAUUAUCUGGUCAAAGGACAGUUUCAGGCGGGCAGUUUGACUGGGGCGGUCGCCUCCUAAACGGUAACGGAGGCGCACAAAGGUUUCCUCUGAACGGGUAGAAAUCGUAUCUAGAGUGUAAAGGCAUAAGGAAGCUUGACUGUGAGACCUACAAGUCGAGCAGGGACGAAAGUCGGUCUUAGUGAUCUGACGGUGCUGAGUGGAAAGGCCGUCACUCAACGGAUAAAGUUACUCUAGGAUAACAGGCUGAUCUCCCCCAAGAGUUCACAUCGACGGGGAGGUUUGGCACCUCGAUGUCGGCUCAUCGCAUCCUGGGGCGGUAGUACGUCCCAAGGGUUGGGCUGUUCGCCCAUGAAAGCGGUACGCGAGCUGGGUUCAGAACGUCGUGAGACAGUUCGGUCCAUAUCCGGUGUAGGCGUUAGAAUAUUGAGAGGAGCCUUCUUUAGUACGAGAGGACCGAGAAGGACAUACCUCUGGUGUACCAGUUAUCGUGCCAACGGUAAACGCUGGGUAGCUAUGUAUGGAGUGGAUAACCGCUGAAAGCAUCUAAGUGGGAAGCCCACCUCAAGAUAAGUAUUCUCGU